UUGUACUUAUACACUGCAUCUGAACAGGGAACAGUCUGCCACAUUAAUGUAUUUUUAAGUGACUUGUUUGUAAUACAUGAAUUUGUUUUUUACAGAUGUCAAAGUCUCAACCUCAUGCUGCCCUCCCCCAUCCUCCUAAACCUGUGGAUACAAAUGCAGAUUUCCUUAAUGUUCAAUGGUGCGUGUUCUUCUAAUGGCCGCCUUCCCACUGGAGGUUUUGAUCCACAGCAAUUUAAAAGGAGGACAGAGCAAAACGGACAUCGGCGCAGAGUGAAGAACUGCCCUUGAUAAGGACACUAUGACAGCCAUAUAUAGUAAGUGAAGACUUUCUGUGUAUCUAAAAUUGCAUACAGCACAAGUAACUUACUUUGCAACCAUUAAAAUAGGUUGUAAAGUAAGUUACCAAUACAAAUAGGUGAUGAUGCAUUGUAGUGGUUGGUCUCAGACAAAGAAGGUCAACAGAUUUAUGAAUGCUGGAAGGUAAGGAGAGACGACCAAAAGGGGUGUUAGCAUUACUGUAAUGUGAACUGGAUAGACUUCCCAUCUAGGAAAAAAAAGAGGUAAAAUUAUGCGUAAAAUAUAUCUGUAUUAAUAUCUGUAUCUAUAUAAACAGAAAUAUCUGUUUGCUAAAUGAAGCCAGCUAACAUAAAUCACAUUUUUAUUUUAACUCUGAUAAAAGUAAUAGAACUGUGACUUUUGUUUGUUACAGUGGCGGUAAGGAAGGGGUUUCCCAGCGUGUCCAGAAGGGCUUUGAGGAUUGCCGUGAAAGCUGGGGGAACUGAGACUGCUGGAAAAGGAAAAGAAAUUACAUUUUAAGUAUGCUGACUUAUGUUCAU
Maylandia zebra (zebra mbuna) is the source of this 836-nucleotide non-coding RNA. The record is from RefSeq and is a predicted model, not a curated record. Lineage: Eukaryota; Metazoa; Chordata; Actinopteri; Cichliformes; Cichlidae.